This 252-nucleotide ribosomal RNA is filed under the name uncultured bacterium. Its description in RNAcentral is "partial 16S ribosomal RNA". It matches the Rfam family "Bacterial small subunit ribosomal RNA", at positions 524 to 776 of the family's 1533-position model. The record is from RNAcentral.
UACGGAGGAUGCGAGCGUUAUCCGGACUUAUUGGGUUUAAAGGGUGCGUAGGCGGACGCUUAAGUCAGCGGUAAAAUUGCGGGGCUCAACCUCGUCGAGCCGUUGAAACUGGGUGUCUUGAGUGGGCGAGAAGUACGCGGAAUGCGUGGUGUAGCGGUGAAAUGCAUAGAUAUCACGCAGAACUCCGAUUGCGAAGGCAGCGUACCGGCGCCCAACUGACGCUGAAGCACGAAGGCGUGGGUAUCGAACAGG